ACCGUUAUGGGAGAGCAAUACACCACCGUCGACACCAACACAUUACGAACGCCGUUCACAUAUCUUGCCAUUCGACGGCGUUACGAAUUGCCAGAGAAAAUUGUGCAAUUGAGAGAGAACGAAGAGAAAAUCAACAAUGCCCCCUACGCGGCAUUGCCAACUCUCCGUCUGGUGGUAUCAAUGCGUUGCCAUUGUAAUUUAUGUCAGUGGUAAACAUAAACAUCUGCAUAUUUUUUACAGUUUAACUUUAACUUUGGUCGUGAGAACAACGUUGUACGGUUUUAAAGGUAAAGGUAAAUUGUUAUUGAUAUCAUCAAAACAACAACCAAGUGAGUGAUUGAAAGAAAAAUCAAAUCAAUUGAAAAACCCUUCACAAAAAAGAAAAA
This is a long non-coding RNA of Musca domestica (house fly), 386 nucleotides long. RefSeq lists it as uncharacterized. The record is from RefSeq and is a predicted model, not a curated record. NCBI's taxonomy places the organism in Eukaryota, Metazoa, Arthropoda, Insecta, Diptera, Muscidae. The transcript has 2 exons.